GACGAAGGAUGCAAGCGUUUAUCCGGAUUCAUUGGGUUUAAAGGGUGCGUAGGCGGACUUGUAAGUCAGUGGUGAAAUCUCUUUGCUUAACAAAGAAACUGCCAUUGAUACUGCAGGUCUAGAGUAUAGAUGACGUUGGCGGAAUAUGACAUGUAGUGGUGAAAUACUUAGAUAUGUCAUAGAACACCGAUUGCGAAGGCAGCCAACGAAACUAUAACUGACGCUGAGGCACGAAAGUGCGGGGAUCAAACAGG
Molecule: ribosomal RNA, 254 nt
Filed under: uncultured bacterium
Lineage: Bacteria
Description: partial 16S ribosomal RNA
Rfam family: Bacterial small subunit ribosomal RNA
Source: RNAcentral